Canis lupus familiaris (dog) is the source of this 540-nucleotide long non-coding RNA. RefSeq lists it as uncharacterized. The record is from RefSeq and is a predicted model, not a curated record. The transcript is spliced from 3 exons. Lineage: Eukaryota; Metazoa; Chordata; Mammalia; Carnivora; Canidae.
ACUGCACUGAACCCCCAGAGAAUCAAAGACAGGGCUUGAUGGAAGCAUUUUCUGGGCUGGUUUAUUGCACUUAACAAGAAAAUGGAAAUCUGACUUGAGAGAGAAAAACAUUUCUAAACAUUGCACACUGCUGGGGGUUAGUUGAUGUGGUCACUGAAAACUCCACAGAAGAAAGUGUCUCUAGAGUUCAGACACACUAAAAGCCCCUGCCCUCCUGACCAACCUGAGUGGACAGCACACCUGAGCUCUAAGUACGCGAUAUGAAGGACUCACACAGCCUGGCCUGGAUUAUCUGGACCACAAGAGUACAGCUCCUCCCCAACUUGGCCUGAAUCCUGAUAAAGCUACUUUCUAGUCCUCAUCUGCCAUGACCCAGCAGCAAAAAAUGACUAAACCAACUCUUCCCUUGCCCAGACUUAGUUUAAUCACAGUCCCCUUGGACUUGUGAACUUUCACUCCACUGGUCAUGGAAAGCAUUUGCUUUUGUCAGAGAGACAGAACAUGAGCAGGGGAAGGGGAGAAAGAGAAGGAGAAGCAGAC